AAGCAAGAAUAAUUAUACAACAACUUAAGAAAAAUGUAGUGACCAAAAAAAUACUUUUACUUUCAAAAUUUUGACCAUCAAAACAAAUGAAAGGUUAGAAAUUAUUCUAAUUAAUUUAUACUUUUUUUUUCUCUAAAUCUUAAGACUCUCAUAAUAUUAUAAUUAGAUGUCAAAUCUUAAAUCACAUGAUGUUUAGAGUUUAAGAAUGAUUAUUAAAUAGAUAUUUCUCUGUCUUUUAUUAUAAUGGCUAAACGCAUGU
Molecule: long non-coding RNA, 259 nt
Filed under: Carica papaya (papaya)
Lineage: Eukaryota; Viridiplantae; Streptophyta; Magnoliopsida; Brassicales; Caricaceae
Description: long non-coding RNA (CPAP_LNC009228)
Source: RNAcentral